AUACUUUUAUCUUUAAAUCACACACAUUCCGACACAUGUUCCGGGGUGCCCGUCUGAUAGACAGGGUCGGAUUCAUGGGGGAUGUGGAGGCCUAAC
Molecule: small RNA, 96 nt
Filed under: Vibrio proteolyticus NBRC 13287
Lineage: Bacteria; Pseudomonadati; Pseudomonadota; Gammaproteobacteria; Vibrionales; Vibrionaceae
Description: t44 RNA
Rfam family: t44 RNA
About the family: This family consists of a number of bacterial RNA genes of between 135 and 170 bases in length.
Source: Rfam by way of RNAcentral